CACCGCCCGUCACAUCACGAAAGCAGGUUGCACUAGAAGCCGGUUCGCUGACCGUAAGGAGGCAGCCGUCCGAACGGUGUGGCUUGUGAUUGGGUG
This 96-nucleotide ribosomal RNA is filed under the name uncultured bacterium. Its description in RNAcentral is "partial 16S ribosomal RNA". The record is from RNAcentral.